GACAGAGGCCUCGAGCGUUAGGCGGAAUCACUGGGCUUAAAGCGUGUGUAGGCGGAUCGUUAAGUGCCUUGUGAAAUCCCACGGCUUAACUGUGGAACGGCUGGGCAUACUGGCGGUCCUGAGCCAUCUAGGGGCGACUGGAACAAACGGUGGAGCGGUGAAAUGCGUAGAUAUCGUUUGGAACGCCAAUGAUGAAAACAGGUCGCUGGGGAUGAGCUGACGCUGAGACACGAAAGCCAGGGGAGCAAACGGG
RNAcentral lists this ribosomal RNA (253 nucleotides) under uncultured bacterium. RNAcentral's name for it is "partial 16S ribosomal RNA". It matches the Rfam family "Bacterial small subunit ribosomal RNA", at positions 524 to 776 of the family's 1533-position model. The record is from RNAcentral.